Molecule: ribosomal RNA, 3467 nt
Filed under: bacterium
Lineage: Bacteria
Description: 23S ribosomal RNA
Rfam family: Bacterial large subunit ribosomal RNA
Source: RNAcentral
AAGAAAGUUACUUAAGGGCACAUGAAGGAUGCCUUGACGUAAAGUACCGAUGAAGGACGUAGAAGGCUGCGAUAAGCCUCGGUGAGCUGUCAAUCAAGCUUUGACCCGGGGAUUUCCGAAUGGGGCAACCCAGCCGUGGUUAUACGCGGUUACUCAUAUCUGAAUAAAAUAGGAUAUGGAGAGGGCACGUGGUGAACUGAAACAUCUCAUUAGCCACAGGAAGAGAGAGAAACCUCAAUUCCCCUAGUAGCGGCGAGCGAACAGGGAAGAGCCAAAACCUUUUUACUUUUUGCCUCUUAUCGAGAUUACAAAUUGCCUGGAUCAAAGUGAAAAAUACGCCAGCGAGAAUGUUCGAGCGCUUAAAAAAGCGCGAGUUUCGCAGCUAAGUAUUUUUUACUGGACAGGUAAUACAUUUGUAAUUUGGAUAAGAGGUGAAUAAGCCGGCAGGCGAAUAGUAUUAGGGUGUUGUGAGAUAGAGACGACCAAUAAAGAGCGUUUGAGAGUUCUCAAACGGUCCUUAUUGCGACGGAACCUCUGCCGAGGACCGGUAAGGUAAGAAAGUUGAAAACUAGCGGAAGGAGUUGGAAUGCUCCGCCAAAGAAGGUGAAAGCCCCGUAGGCGAAAGUUUUCAGCCCUUAUAUCUCUAUUCUCGAGUAAGCCGGGACACGUGAAACCCUGGCCGAAUCUAGGAGGACCACCUCCUAAGGCUAAAUAUACUUUACGAUCGAUAGCGAACAAGUACCGUGAGGGAAAGGCGAAAAGAACCCCGGAAGGGGAGUGAAAUAGAACCUGAAAUCAUGUGCCUACAAUGAGUCGGAGCUGCGCUCUUCACUGAAAGUGAGAGCUGCACGUUCGCAGACAGCCACACGAGUCCUACCUUAUUCCGGUAGGUGCGUGGUGGCAGCUACAAAUAUCUGCGCAAUGCAGCGUUCGUCUUUAGUGAUGAGCGUGGUGACGGCGUGCUUUUUGUAGAACGAUCCAGCGAGUUAAUUUUGAAUGCGUUAGGUUAAGUCAUAUGACGGAGCCGUAGUGAAAGCGAGGCUUAAUAAGCCGACUUAGUAUUCAGGAUUAGACCCGAAACCGGGUGACCUAACCAUGGGCAGGUUGAAGCGCAGGUAAAACUGCGUGGAGGACCGAACCACCGACAGUUACAAAUGUCUUGGAUGACCUGUGGUUAGCGGAGAAAUUCCAAUCGAACUCGGAGAUAGCUGGUUCUCCUCGAAAUAGCUUUAGGGCUAGCGUCUGUUAACUACCUCCCGGGGGUAGAGCUCUGUUUAGGUAAUGGACCGCAAGGUUACUGAUCCUUGGCAAACUGCGAAUACCGGGAGAGACUAUUCAGGCAGUCAGAACGGCGGGGCUAAGCUCGUCGCUCAAAAGGGAAACAGCCCAGACCGCCAUCUAAGGUCCCCAAGUCUACGCUAAGUGGGAAACGAUGUGGGAAUGCAUAAACAACCAGGAUGUGGGCUUAGAAGCAGCCAUGCAUUUAAAGAGUGCGUAACAGCUCACUGGUCAAUUGUGAUCCUGCGCGGAAAAUAUAACGGGGCUCAAGCGUAGCACCGAAGAUGCGGAUUGUGUACGCAAGUACAUAGUGGUAGAGGAGCGUUCCUCGGGCAGUGAAGUCAGACUGGAAAGUCUGGUGGAGCGCGGGGAAGUGAGAAUGCUGGAAUAAGUAACUUUAAGGCAGGUGAGAAUCCUGCCCACCGUAAGAGCAAGGUUUCCUGGGCAACGAUUAUCGUCCCAGGGUUAGUCGGGCCUAAGCCGAGGCGAGUAGCGUAGGCGAUGGACAACGGGUUGAUAUUCCCGUACCGGCAAUGUUGUUCCCCCAUAUGACGCGGCGUGGUAACAAGAGCGAAUUUUUGGCUAUAUUCGUCUAAGCAGGUAGUCCCCUGCACAGUGCACUUCACGAGAUGGUCACGAUAGUGACAUAUUCCGAGUGGAGUGUAAUGUGCAGGGGGUGAGACGCGAAUGAAAGGCUUUAACCGGCUGAUUCUUGUGAGCCAAGCUGACCAGAAAAGUAAUGGGAUUAAUAGACAUAGCCGCCCGUACCGCAAACCGACUCCGGUGCUCGGUUCGAGUAGACCAAGGUGUACGAGAGAACCCUUCUUAAGGAACUCGGCAAUACAGCGACCGUAACUUCGGGAUAAGGUCUGCCUCCUUUUUGGAGGCCGCAGCAAAAGAGCCCAUGCGACUGUUUAUCAAAAACACAGGUCUGUGCUAAAUCGAAAGAUGAUGUAUACGGACUGACGCCUGCCCAGUGCUGGAAGGUUAAGUGGAGGGGUGCAAGCUCUGAAAUGAAGCCCCAGUAAACGGCGGCAGUAACUAUAACUGUCCUAAGGUAGCGAAAUUCCUUGUCGGGUAAGUUCCGACCCGCACGAAUGGCGUAACGACUUGGGCGCUGUCUCAACAAGGGCCUCGGUGAAAUUGCAAUAGCGGUAAAGAUGCCGUUUACCCGCACCAAGACGGAAAGACCCCAUGGAGCUUUACUACAACUUGGCAUUGGGCCGGGUUGAAGCUUGUGUAGAAUAGGUGGGAGGCUUUGAAGUCAGAGCGCUAGCUCUGGUGGAGCCGAAAUGUGAAAUACCACCCUUGUUUUAAUCUUGUCCUAACCAGUGCCGCAAUUUGCGGGUGAGACUGGCAAGACAAGUAAGCACCAUUUGAAUCUAUAACUAGAUUCUAAAUAAAUAGAUCUACCUUUAUAAGCGGUAGAUUUAUGUAGCUUUUUCCUAACUCAUGCAAAAUACUACAACCUUUUGCAACUUGUCUUGUUAGACUCUUCUCAUACGCAGGUUCCGGUACUGGAACAGUGUCUGGUGGGUAGUUUAACUGGGGCGGUUGCCUCCCAAAGUGUAACGGAGGCGUUCAAAGGUUGGCUAGGUACGGAUGGAAAUCGUAUCGAUAGUGCAAACGCAUAAGCCAGCUUGACUGUGAGGCCUACAAGCCGAGCAGGUACGAAAGUAGGAGUUAGUGACCCGCUGUAAAUUUGAAUGUGGAAUCUACAGCGCUCAACGGACAAAAGUUACCCUGGGGAUAACAGGCUUAUAGCGCCCAAGCGUCCACAGCGACGGCGCUGUUUGGCACCUCGAUGUCGGCUCGUCCCAUCCUGGGGGGGAAGCACCUCCCAAGGGUUUGGCUGUUCGCCAAUUAAAGGGGUACGCGAGCUGGGUUCAGAACGUCGUGAGACAGUUCGGUCUCUAUCUGGUGUGGGCGUAAGGAAAUUUGAGAGGAUUGGCUCCUAGUACGAGAGGACCGGAGUGAACGAACCUCUGGUGUAUCGAUUGUUCUGCCAAGGGCAUUGUCGAGUAGCUAUGUUCGGUCGGGAUAAGCGCUGAAAGCAUAUAAGCGCGAAACCCACCUCAAGAUUAGAUUUCCCUAUAGACUCCAUGUAGAUUACGUGGUUGAUAGGCACUAGGUGUACGCACAGUAAUGUGUUUAGCCGAGGUGUACUAAUAGUCGAUUGACUUUUUUAC